CCUAUAAGACUGGGAUAACUUCGGGAAACCGGGGCUAAUGCCGGAUAAUAUUUAGAACCGCAUGGUUCUAAAGUGAAAGAUGGUUUUGUUAUCACUUAUAGAUGGACCCGCGCCGUAUUAGCUAGUUGGUGGGAUAAUGGCUUACCAAGGCAACGAUACGUAGCCGACCUGAGAGGGUGAUCGGCCACACUGGAACUGAGACACGGUCCAGACUCCUACGGGAGGCAGCAGUAGGGAAUCUUCCGCAAUGGGCGAAAGCCUGACGGAGCAACGCCGCGUGAGUGAUGAAGGUCUUCGGAUCGUAAAACUCUGUUAUUAGGGAAGAACAAAUGUGUAAGUAACUGUGCACGUCUUGACGGUACCUAAUCAGAAAGCCACGGCUAACUACGUGCCAGCAGCCGCGGUAAUACGUAGGUGGCAAGCGUUAUCCGGAAUUAUUGGGCGUAAAGCGCGCGUAGGCGGUUUCUUAAGUCUGAUGUGAAAGCCCACGGCUCAACCGUGGAGGGUCAUUGGAAACUGGGAAACUUGAGUGCAGAAGAGGAAAGUGGAAUUCCAUGUGUAGCGGUGAAAUGCGCAGAGAUAUGGAGGAACACCAGUGGCGAAGGCGACUUUCUGGUCUGUAACUGACGCUGAUGUGCGAAAGCGUGGGGAUCAAACAGGAUUAGAUACCCUGGUAGUCCACGCCGUAAACGAUGAGUGCUAAGUGUUAGGGGGUUUCCGCCCCUUAGUGCUGCAGCUAACGCAUUAAGCACUCCGCCUGGGGAGUACGACCGCAAGGUUGAAACUCAAA
RNAcentral lists this ribosomal RNA (790 nucleotides) under uncultured Staphylococcus sp. RNAcentral describes it as "bacterial SSU rRNA". It matches the Rfam family "Bacterial small subunit ribosomal RNA", at positions 129 to 905 of the family's 1533-position model. The record is from RNAcentral. Lineage: Bacteria; Bacillati; Bacillota; Bacilli; Caryophanales; Staphylococcaceae.